AAUCAUCAAACUUUUCAAUUUUAUUAUUGAUAAGUUUGGACUUGGAAGUGUUGUUGGCUCUGGUCAACUCUUCUUAAAUGUAUUAGCCGGAAGCUCUUGUAACCGUCUAUAGGUGUGAUAAUUAUCUAUGCCUUUGACUGCUGCACUUAGUAUGAGCAUUCGCUUCUAACUGUCUACUUGUAGUCAAUUUUUGACC
RNAcentral lists this unclassified non-coding RNA (196 nucleotides) under Pholiotina dentatomarginata. Its description in RNAcentral is "partial internal transcribed spacer 2". Lineage: Eukaryota; Fungi; Basidiomycota; Agaricomycetes; Agaricales; Bolbitiaceae. The record is from RNAcentral.